ACUAAUAUAUUUCCCAGGAUCACUGCAGAGAUGGGCAUCAACUAAAUGUACAACUGUCAACCUAAGGUUCAACUUCUUGAUGAGUUUCAUUAUAACAUUCUUGGCAUUUGAGUGAAGGAAAAAUAAUUCCACCUGACCAGGAAAAUCAAAAAGAAGGUAGUGAUCUUUCAACAGAGGUUCCAAUUUAGAUUGCAACCAGUCGAUAUUCUUCUCCAAAUAAUCCAUGCAAUACACAAGACCUCCAUUGGGACCAAGAGAAUGCUCCAUCAUUACAUCACUUAGCUUAAUGAGAUCCUCAAUAUUCACAGCACAGUCAUAUGGCAACGAAUCAUUUGCAGGAUCCAAAUUGAUGACUGCAACCUUCCUUCCGAUGAGGCUAAGGAACUGAGACAUGCCAUUGCAAUAAGUGGUUUUUCCAGAUCCAGGUGGACCUAUGACUACUUGCCCAAACACCAUCCUAAUUUCACUCACUAAGAAGUUAAGAUUAAGAUUUAGUAGGAAAC
RNAcentral lists this unclassified non-coding RNA (503 nucleotides) under Hevea brasiliensis (rubber tree). Lineage: Eukaryota; Viridiplantae; Streptophyta; Magnoliopsida; Malpighiales; Euphorbiaceae. The record is from RNAcentral.